UUUUUUUUUUAACAGUGCCAUUAAAUGAAUUUUUCAAAAAUGGCAAUCCUAACCUCUUCCUCUUUCCUCUCAGCUCUGCUCUCCACCGUCGUUGUCCAUUCUGAGCAAUUGGAUUUUAGAUUUCUCCUCUGCAUCAGAAACUUCGCUAGCCAAUAAUCUUGCACCGAGAUAA
Molecule: long non-coding RNA, 172 nt
Organism: Pyrus x bretschneideri (Chinese white pear)
Lineage: Eukaryota; Viridiplantae; Streptophyta; Magnoliopsida; Rosales; Rosaceae
Exons: 2
Source: RefSeq, a predicted model, not a curated record